AUCACCUAAGGAAUGUUGUCAUAUCUAAUAGGAGUUGUUGGGGAAAAUUUGUUUUCAAUUUGCCCCCACCAAGAUCAAUUAUUCAUGUGACUUUAAAGCCUUGUUUUAGUUAAAACAAUAACAAUCUAGAUGAAAUCCAGCUAUAAAUACGACUAUUAAUUUUUAGUUUUAAAAAAGCACUUAUUGAAAAAUCUGGUUCUGGCUCUCCAAUCCCCAGACAGCAAGUCCCAUUCUUUUCCUUUCUUUAAGUUUGCUUCUUCUGACAAGGUAUAGUAUUCAUUAAGUUAGACAUGGAAACAUAAGUAGAAAAAUGUAGCAAUAGGAUUAUCAAAUAACUUUAUGUUUUACAUUUUUCAAUUUCUAUAAACUAUAAAGUUAACUACGUUAAUGCACUCUGUUUUGAUUUGUUUCAGGAUAGAAUUUGUGUUUGGAAUAGCAAAAACUAAAGUUGAGACUAGUAACAUCAAAUAUGAGUGAUUUAAACGGUGAAAGAACAAAGCCAUGGGACAUAUACACAGCUUCAAAUCCAAGUCCAUCACAAGCAGGAGGGGUUGAUGAGGAAACAGCUCCAUGGAAAAGUUUGGGGACAUCUAUGAAUGCUAUUUCAUUUGGUUUUGUUGCCACUGCCAUUUUGGUUUCAAUGUUUCUUAUAAUGGCCAUUUUUGAACAUUUGUUUAAACCAACCCCACAAUCUAUGCUUGUAACUUCUCAAGAGUCACUACCAACAGGAAAACAUGGAAACACACAUACAGUAAGUCUUUUCAUAAUAUCUCACCUCACUUUUAUUCUUUUUAUUAUAGUUAUUCACUCCUUGGACACUAUUUAUAAUUGAAAGAGGAUAAAACUUCAUUUAAAUAUCCAAUAACAUGAUAGUUAACUAUGUUACUUUAGAUGUUGAACAUAAACAUGUAAUUUGACUUGAAGUAGAGAUUUUGUUUGAAGUUGGUGAUUACUUCCUUAUAAAGCCAUAAAGGGUGAGUAUUAUAUUUUGGAAAUUGUUUAUUGAACUCUAAAAUGAUUUUCUUUUGCUAUGUGCUUCAUGAUAAUGAGGAUCUUUGUGUUGUAACAGGUUACAUCAUCUUAUGCUUCUGAUUUCCCAGUGUUGAUGCCAGGACAACAGUAUCCUACCUACAUUGCACAACCUGCUCCUCUGCCAUGUCCAAGAGAAGGAACUUAUUGGCCUUCUCAUGAACAUAAUUUUGUAGUAUUUAAUUAGCUACAACUUUUUCUAUUCUAAAAUGAAAUUCUAUGUAUAGAGAUACUGAGUUAGAGAGCACAACUUAUGUCAAUUUUAUACAUAUAUUUGUACCCUAACGUAUGUAUUUACAUAUCAAGAUGAUGAGCAUGAUAUUUGUAAGUUAAUGAAUGCAUAGAUGAAGUUGCAUUAUAAUUAAAAAAAAA
This 1401-nucleotide long non-coding RNA is filed under the name Lupinus mutabilis. Its description in RNAcentral is "partial ncRNA". Lineage: Eukaryota; Viridiplantae; Streptophyta; Magnoliopsida; Fabales; Fabaceae. The record is from RNAcentral.